GAUGAACGCUGGCGGCGUGCUUAACACAUGCAAGUCGAACGAAGCACUUUAUUUGAUUUCCUUCGGGACUGAUUAUUUUUGACUGAGUGGCGGACGGGUGAGUAACGCGUGGGUAACCUGCCUUGUACAGGGGGAUAACAGUUGGAAACGGCUGCUAAUACCGCAUAAGCGCACAGCAUCGCAUGAUGCAGUGUGAAAAACUCCGGUGGUAUAAGAUGGACCCGCGUUGGAUUAGCUAGUUGGUGAGGUAACGGCCCACCAAGGCGACGAUCCAUAGCCGACCUGAGAGGGUGACCGGCCACAUUGGGACUGAGACACGGCCCAAACUCCUACGGGAGGCAGCAGUGGGGAAUAUUGCACAAUGGGCGAAAGCCUGAUGCAGCGACGCCGCGUGAGCGAAGAAGUAUUUCGGUAUGUAAAGCUCUAUCAGCAGGGAAGAUAAUGACGGUACCUGACUAAGAAGCACCGGCUAAAUACGUG
Molecule: ribosomal RNA, 480 nt
Filed under: uncultured bacterium
Lineage: Bacteria
Description: partial 16S ribosomal RNA
Rfam family: Bacterial small subunit ribosomal RNA
Source: RNAcentral